GCAAGUCGAACGGUAACAGGUCUUCGGAUGCUGACGAGUGGCGAACGGGUGAGUAAUACAUCGGAACGUGCCCGAUCGUGGGGGAUAACGCAGCGAAAGCUGUGCUAAUACCGCAUACGAUCUACGGAUGAAAGCGGGGGAUCGCAAGACCUCGCGCGGACGGAGCGGCCGAUGGCAGAUUAGGUAGUUGGUGGGAUAAAAGCUUACCAAGCCGACGAUCUGUAGCUGGUCUGAGAGGACGACCAGCCACACUGGGACUGAGACACGGCCCAGACUCCUACGGGAGGCAGCAGUGGGGAAUUUUGGACAAUGGGCGCAAGCCUGAUCCAGCCAUGCCGCGUGCAGGAUGAAGGCCUUCGGGUUGUAAACUGCUUUUGUACGGAACGAAAAAGCUCUCUCUAAUACAGGGGGUGAAUGACGGUACCGUAAGAAUAAGCACCGGCUAACUACGUGCCAGCAGCCGCGGUAAUACGUAGGGUGCAAGCGUUAAUCGGAAUUACUGGGCGUAAAGCGUGCGCAGGCGGUUAUGUAAGACAGAGGUGAAAUCCCCGGGCUCAACCUGGGAACUGCCUUUGUGACUGCAUAGCUGGAGUGCGGCAGAGGGGGAUGGAAUUCCGCGUGUAGCAGUGAAAUGCGUAGAUAUGCGGAGGAACACCGAUGGCGAAGGCAAUCCCCUGGGCCUGCACUGACGCUCAUGCACGAAAGCGUGGGGAGCAAACAGGAUUAGAU
RNAcentral lists this ribosomal RNA (729 nucleotides) under Simplicispira sp. YIM219. RNAcentral's name for it is "bacterial SSU rRNA". It matches the Rfam family "Bacterial small subunit ribosomal RNA", at positions 57 to 783 of the family's 1533-position model. Lineage: Bacteria; Pseudomonadati; Pseudomonadota; Betaproteobacteria; Burkholderiales; Comamonadaceae. The record is from RNAcentral.